Molecule: ribosomal RNA, 253 nt
Filed under: uncultured bacterium
Lineage: Bacteria
Description: partial 16S ribosomal RNA
Rfam family: Bacterial small subunit ribosomal RNA
Source: RNAcentral
UACGUAGGGUGCGAGCGUUGUCCGGAUUUACUGGGCGUAAAGCGCACGUAGGCGGAUCGCUAAGUUGGGGGUGAAAUCCUGGAGCUCAACUCCAGAACUGCCUUCAAUACUGGCGAUCUAGAGUCCGGAAGAGGUGAGUGGAACUCCUAGUGUAGAGGUGGAAUUCGUAGAUAUUAGGAAGAACACCAGUGGCGAAGGCGGCUCACUGGUCCGGUACUGACGCUGAGGUGCGAAAGCGUGGGGAGCAAACAGG